This 382-nucleotide ribosomal RNA is filed under the name uncultured eukaryote. RNAcentral describes it as "partial 18S ribosomal RNA". It matches the Rfam family "Eukaryotic small subunit ribosomal RNA", at positions 592 to 976 of the family's 1831-position model. The record is from RNAcentral.
UGUAAGCGUAUACCAAAGUUGUUGCAGUUAAAACGCUCGUAGUCGGACUUUGGCAGUUCCGGAUGUGUGCACGUCGUGUGCGCACUUCGCGGGGAUUGCUUUUGUGGUCUUGCGUAGGAUGAGGCACUUUUAUUAGUGAACGUCCUCACGCAACCACUUUUUACUGUGAGAAAAUCAGAGUGCUCAAAGCAGGCAUUUGCCGUGAAUGUAUUAGCAUGGAAUAAUAGAAUAGGACUUGGUUCUAUUUUGUUGGUUUGUUGGGGCUGAGUAAUGAUUAAGAGGGACAGUUGGGGGCAUUUGUAUUUCGGUGCUAGAGGUGAAAUUCUUAGAUUACCGAAAGACAAACUGCUGCGAAAGCGUCUGCCAAGGAUGUUUUCAUUGA